CCCUUAGAUGUCCUGGGCCGCACGCGUGCUACACUGACACUUACACCGAGUUUUUCCAAUGCCGAAAGGCCAUUGGUAAUCAGCAAUAAGUGUCGUGAUGGGGAUAGAUCUUUGGAAUUAUUGAUCUUGAACGAGGAAUGCCUAGUAAUCGUAGGUCAUCAGCCUGCAUUGAUUACGUCCCUGCCCUUUGUACACACCGCCCGUCGCACCUACCGAUUGAAUGGUCCGGUGAAGCCUCCGGAUUGGCGCGCACCUCGGUGCCGCCGAGAAGUUGGCUAAACCUUACCAUUUAGAGGAAGGUGAAGUCGUAACA
This 313-nucleotide ribosomal RNA is filed under the name uncultured eukaryote. Its description in RNAcentral is "partial 18S ribosomal RNA". It matches the Rfam family "Eukaryotic small subunit ribosomal RNA", at positions 1470 to 1796 of the family's 1831-position model. The record is from RNAcentral.